RNAcentral lists this ribosomal RNA (446 nucleotides) under uncultured bacterium. RNAcentral's name for it is "partial 16S ribosomal RNA". It matches the Rfam family "Bacterial small subunit ribosomal RNA", at positions 338 to 795 of the family's 1533-position model. The record is from RNAcentral.
CCUACGGGUGGCUGCAGUCGAGAAUCAUUCACAAUGGGGGAAACCCUGAUGGUGCGACGCCGCGUGGGGGAAUGAAGGUCUUCGGAUUGUACACCCCUGUCAUGUGGGAGCAAAUUAAAAAGAUAGUACCACAAGAGGAAGAGACGGCUAACUCUGUGCCAGCAGCCGCGGUAAUACAGAGGGCUCAAGCGUUGUUCGGAAGCACUGGGCGUAAAGGGUGCGUAGGCUGUUUCGUAAGUCGUGUGUGAAAGGCGCGGGCUCAACCCGCGGAUGGCACCUGAUACUGCGAGACUGGAGUAAUGGAGGGGGAACCGGAAUUCUCGGUGUAGCAGUGAAAUGCGUAGAUAUCGGGAGGAACACUCGUGGCGAAGGCGGGUUCCUGGACAUUAACUGACGCUGAGGCACGAAGGCCAGGGGAGCGAAAGGGAUUAGAUACCCCUGUAGUC